GGUAUAACUGCCCUCCAGCUAACUGCUGCUGGGUUUUGAGUGAUGUUUUUCCUUCCCCAGGGCUCGAGGAAAUGCAGCGUCCAGCACCCCGGAUGACCACAGUUCUAGUGCAACAGGCUCAACAGUGACCCGGGUCACGGUGUGAGGACUGGCUGUUGCAGGCUGAGCUCCUGUGUGACUGCUGCUGAAGAUUUUGGAGGGCAGGACACUCUGCAGAGGAAACACACAGCUCCUGGGCACAGCAGCACCUGGUUACUAUUGAAGACCAAGGUCCAUGGUCAGAGGGAUCCUAGAAGCAAGAGGGAAACAUCGCCACAGACAGGGCGUGCUGGAUGUUCGUGGCGUGCAGACCCAAACUCCUGGUGCCUUUAUGCCUGCAGAAGUGUGGAGCUGAGGACAGGGAAGGUGCAGUGCCCUUCCCGAGGAGGGGAAGGUGCUGCAGGAGCUGCCCUUGCCCAGCACCGGGACUGGAGCUGGUGGAGGGCUUCUGCUGUGCUGCCUCCUGUCCUCACCCGGUGUGGCUGGGGGCCCUGGGCUUGCCUCCAGGCCCAUGGCAAUGGGCUGCAUGCAGCCAGGCCAGGGGCUGCUGAGGGCACGCACCCUGCCCAGCAGUGGUAGGACGUUUUGGGGCAUGUAUUGUGCAUUUUUAAGCAUGUUAGGGAGUCCAAGAGCGAAUAAAUGAGAUCUUUCUAUAUUAGUCCUCUUGGCACUCAGGCUAGAGUUCAUGAUAAUUGUUUAUUUAAUAUGUAGUCUGAGUCACUAAUCAUCUUUACUUGUAAGGAUCUGAUUACAUUUAAACCCCGGGAAGUCAAUGACUGUUUUAUUACUGAUUUCAUUAAGGCCGGCGUUUUAAUCCUUGCCAUCUAAAUCUCCACAUUUGAACAGAAAUUCCUCCAGAGCUCGUUACUUUAAGCAUGAGAGCAAUGGGUGAAGCUUACCAAUCACCCCAUCCAUUAUUAUAUUUAGUACCAGGGUAGCUGCAGUGAUAGAAGGACUUUUCAAAUAAACAGUCAUUAAGUACGGCAGCGAUAAUGGAAUGUGCGCCGUGAAAUUAUCUAAUUACUGACACUUCGAGUCUGUAUCAACAAUUUGUUUUGAAAUGGAAUAUAAUUAAAUUCCUUUGCUCCAAGUACAUCCCAAAGAACAAUAAGCUAUCAGGCUUCAACUAACAAAAAGAGAAAGAAGGUGACGUGUAAAAAUGAUCUGGAAUAUCUGCAGAAAACGCGUGCCAUGGCUCCCGUUGCUGGGAUCUGUUAAAACCUGUUGGUGGUUCUGCAAAUGGAAAGGAUCUUCCCAAAGGAGAGGGAGGAGAUGAGGACGGUAACAGAUGUUACAGCACCCCGGAAUGCUUUAUUGUUGGCAGUGUGAGAUAUCUGGAGCCUGAUCUGAAAAGCAAUUGCUUUAUUGGGUCAGUUUUGAGAAGUAAUGUAGCAAAAUGAACAGAUGCAUCUAAUCUGUAAUGCAGAGCAAGAGUGAUCAUCGAUGUUUCGGAGUGUGGAAGGUCGUCACUGCCAUUUGUUGGACAGCCUGCGAGAGGGAAACGUCUCACUGCUGAGUACCAGAGGUAACUGGACGCUCGGAGAAGUGUCUGCAGCCCCGUGUGACCCAAACCUGGUGGUUUUCUCUGAGUCUGAGCAUGCGAGGGCUGCAGGGGGAGCCCUGUGAGGUGCAGGUGGCAUCCAUCUAGUCGCAGGGGACACUGAUGGUGGCACCACAGACCUCGGAGGUGUAAGGGGCUGGGGCUUCUCUGUCCCCUGAUGCACACACAGGUCAGCUUUGCUUCGGCUGUGCCAGGAGUCUCUGGUGGGGAAAUAGACUCGAGAAAUAUUUGAAGAGUGCCUUUCGAGGCACUAGCACAAGUACUCGUGUUAAGAGCAAGAGUUCAGGAAAGAAAAGAGGCCCGAGGCAAGAAAAAAAUGUUUUCUGGAGUACAUUGCUUGUAGCUUGCUACAGCUCCUCCCUAUUCAUGUUUUUAACAAGAAAUCCAGGUUGCAUGCAGCUUUUUCUUUCUUUUUUAAUGUUGCUUUUCCUCUAGCAGCAAGAAAACCCGUGAGUAGUGCUGUCUUCAGGUAAUUUGUAUUUUUUAUUUUUUGAAUUAAUUACAAAACACAUAACCCAGCAGCACAAAGCCGCCGAGAAUGUCAUCACUCAGGUAUCGCAGCCUUUCAUAAAAGUCAGAGGGGCCCUGCUCACGAGCACCUGAUGUUUAUGGCUGCUGCUUCUGAGUGCUUUGUGUUUCUGCGGCCGCCUUGGCUCGUGUCCAUUCUUGCUUUAACCUCAAUGACUUUGGCAUAGUUAUUUCAGUGCUGAACUUCACCUGUUUUGUCUCCGAGUCCUCGGCAGAAUAUGAAGUCUGCUGCUUGCUUAUCAAAUAUGAAGCCGUGCACAACUGGGCAGCCUGAUGCUAAUGGAAUCGAUGCAGCAAAAGAGAUCUCCCAACCCCUCUGUACUUUUUACAAUUUACUUUGCUCGUCACCCAUUAAUUCUCGUAUUGAUUUUCCUAUAAAACACAAACUGCAUUCCUAUUGCAGCCCAAGAAAAAAGCCCAUUGAUUAUAUUGGAACAAGGUAUCUUGUAAAAACGAAAUGCCUAAAACAUUUAAAUGUAGUAAGCUCUGUUAAAGUACAUAAAUCACGUUGUUUAAUGUUGUAAAUGAGUAGUGCUGCCUUAAACAAGGAGAAAUAUAGCACCA
Long non-coding RNA from Anas platyrhynchos (mallard), 2692 nucleotides. RefSeq lists it as uncharacterized. The record is from RefSeq and is a predicted model, not a curated record. Lineage: Eukaryota; Metazoa; Chordata; Aves; Anseriformes; Anatidae.